Non-coding RNA from Gadus chalcogrammus (walleye pollock), 1427 nucleotides. NCBI's taxonomy places the organism in Eukaryota, Metazoa, Chordata, Actinopteri, Gadiformes, Gadidae. The record is from the annotation of a RefSeq genome assembly.
ACCCUGAGAAAUUAAAACGCAGCCCAACUGCUCUUUCCCCUUUGAUGAUGAGCAGUACUAGGGAGGGUGUGUCUUAUUCUCCAAGAAAACAACUUGUUCUGUAGGAGGGUCUGUCUGAAAACAAUUUGGAGGAGAGGAUGUCUUUUGGAGAGGACCCCUACUUCUGCACCCCAGGGAGGUGGGUUCACCUCUGGUUCCUGUGUCAUCAUGGCCUUGGGCUUUGGUCCUGAUGUUGGCUUCUGGUUCUGGACUGGUUCUCUGCACCUGGUCUGGUCUUUGUGGGGUUUCUGCACGGUGCCAUUUGUAUUUGUUUCUUCCCUGUGUGAUCCUUGGAUCUGGUGUUGGGUCUCGGGUGACAGCCGUGGUAGGCUGGUGGUCAUCUCUUUGAACUUUGACCCUUCCUCUAGCCCCCUCCCAACUCCUUACCAUAACCCCUCUACCCCCAUAUGCUAAGGAGCCUGCCUCGCUCAAUUUAUGUCCCCUUUAUUAUGAACCUAUCAGACGAAAAAAGUCUAGCAACAAUUCUAAACCAAAUAGAAUUUGAAAUGUUACACACUUUUACACUUGGAAAUAUGAGCUUUCAAUCUCAAAGAAGGCCAAUAGCCAUAUCCCUCAGGGGCGUAGCCAGGGUUAGAAAAAUAGUGAGGUCCUGGCUUCAGUUGCAGGGGUUCAGUUAUGUGGAGGGGGGGGGGGGGCACGCACAAGCACAAACAAAUAUCACACAUGGCGGAAACAAAGUGACAAGUCUCAACAGAAUUAAGCAUUUUCUCAUGUCAUGUCAGAGAAGUUCUCAACCACUGAUUUUGUAUACAGCUGUACUUAGUAUUUCUAAUUUAUUUUUUACGUCUACCGAAUUGCGGUGAGCUCCUAGCUGGCUACGGGCAUGGACAUGAGAUGACCAGGGUUAGAAUCCCUGGUCUGGGCAUUCUGCCUCAUUGAAGGAGUAUUUCCUACAGCCUCAGUGGUGGCGGUCGUGCCUCAUAUGUUGAAUCGAGUAAGGUGUGGCCUCACUCUGCUGCCGUCAGCCAUAUCGGCAGCAUGCUAGUCACAGCUCUUCAUCUGUUCAGUUUAUUCUUUUUGGGUCUGGCUGCCGUCCCGGUGCCCGUUCAACCCGGGGAUCUGACCCUCCAGCCGGGCGCUGCCAUCACGCUCACCUGCAGUCUGGCGUCCGACAUGUCGAGCUACACUAUGCUCUGGUACCGACAGCAAGUCUACGGUGAUCCCAUCGAGUUCAUCAUCAAAGAACACGACACCAGUCGGGGUCGCUUCAAAGCCACUCUGGACACAAACCAGAACCGCUUCUCGCUGGGAAUAAGCGAGUUGCAGGUGAACGACAGUGGGACGUUCUACUGCGCAGCCUAUCACCGCGACACGCCUGGGUGCAGCAGGCGUACACAUACCGUCGUUGAGCUACGUUCAUAGCGCUG